Molecule: ribosomal RNA, 255 nt
Filed under: uncultured bacterium
Lineage: Bacteria
Description: partial 16S ribosomal RNA
Rfam family: Bacterial small subunit ribosomal RNA
Source: RNAcentral
UACAGAGGUCUCAAGCGUUGUUCGGAUUCAUUGGGCGUAAAGGGUGCGUAGGCGGCCUAUUAAGUCAGGGGUGAAAGACGGUGGCUCAACCAUCGCAGUGCCUUUGAUACUGAUAGGCUUGAAUACACUAGAGGUAGGCGGAAUGUGACAAGUAGCGGUGAAAUGCAUAGAUAUGUCACAGAACACCGAUUGCGAAGGCAGCUUACUAUGGUGUCAUUGACGCUGAGGCACGAAAAGCGUGGGGGAUCAAACAGG